RNAcentral lists this ribosomal RNA (497 nucleotides) under uncultured bacterium. RNAcentral's name for it is "partial 16S ribosomal RNA". It matches the Rfam family "Bacterial small subunit ribosomal RNA", at positions 28 to 507 of the family's 1533-position model. The record is from RNAcentral.
GAUGGACGGUGGCGGCGUGCCUAAUACAUGCAAGUCGAGCGAACAGACGAGGAGCUUGCUCCUCUGACGUUAGCGGCGGACGGGUGAGUAACACGUGGAUAACCUACCUAUAAGACUGGGAUAACUUCGGGAAACCGGAGCUAAUACCGGAUAAUAUAUUGAACCGCAUGGUUCAAUAGUGAAAGACGGUUUUGCUGUCACUUAUAGAUGGAUCCGCGCCGCAUUAGCUAGUUGGUAAGGUAACGGCUUACCAAGGCAACGAUGCGUAGCCGACCUGAGAGGGUGAUCGGCCACACUGGAACUGAGACACGGUCCAGACUCCUACGGGAGGCAGCAGUAGGGAAUCUUCCGCAAAGGGCGAAAGCCUGACGGAGCAACGCCGCGUGAGUGAUGAAGGUCUUCGGAUCGUAAAACUCUGUUAUUAGGGAAGAACAAAUGUGUAAGUAACUAUGCACGUCUUGACGGUACCUAAUCAGAAAGCCACGGCUAACUACGUG